AUUGAACGCUGGCGGCAGGCUUAACACAUGCAAGUCGAGCGGGGUGAUGGUGCUUGCACUAUCACUUAGCGGCGGACGGGUGAGUAACGCGUAGGAAUAUGCCUUAAAGAGGGGGAUACCCUGGGGAAACUCAGGAUAAUACCGCAUAGACUCUGAGGAGGGAAGCUGGGGACCUUCGGGCCUGGCGCUUUAAGAUUAGCCUGCGUCCGAUUAGCUAGUUGGUAGGGUAAAGGCCUACCAAGGCGACGAUCGGUAGCUGGUCUGAGAGGAUGACCAGCCACACUGGGACUGAGACACGGCCCAGACUCCUACGGGAGGCAGCAGUGGGGAAUAUUGGACAAUGGGGGGAACCCUGAUCCAGCAAUGCCGCGUGUGUGAAGAAGGCCUGAGGGUUGUAAAGCACUUUCAGUGGGGAGGAGGUAUGGAAGGUUAAGAGCUAUUCAUAUGGACGUUACCCACAGAAGAAGCACCGGCUAACUCCGUGCCAGCCGCCGCCGUAA
This 500-nucleotide ribosomal RNA is filed under the name uncultured bacterium. Its description in RNAcentral is "partial 16S ribosomal RNA". It matches the Rfam family "Bacterial small subunit ribosomal RNA", at positions 30 to 523 of the family's 1533-position model. The record is from RNAcentral.